AAGCAGGGGAUCGUAAGACCUUGUGCUUUUGGAGUGGCCGAUGCCUGAUUAGCUAGUUGGUAGGGUAAUGGCCUACCAAGGCGACGAUCAGUAGUUGGUCUGAGAGGACGACCAGCCACACUGGGACUGAGACACGGCCCAGACUCCUACGGGAGGCAGCAGUGGGGAAUUUUGGACAAUGGGCGCAAGCCUGAUCCAGCAAUGCCGCGUGAGUGAAGAAGGCCUUCGGGUUGUAAAGCUCUUUCAGUUGAGAAGAAAAGGUUGUGACUAAUAAUCACAACUCAUGACGGUAUCGACAGAAGAAGCACCGGCUAACUACGUGCCAGCAGCCGCGGUAAUACGUAGGGUGCGAGCGUUAAUCGGAAUUACUGGGCGUAAAGGGUGCGCAGGCGGCUUUGUAAGUCAGAUGUGGAAUCCCCGGGCUUAACCUGGGAAUUGCGUUUGAAACUACAAAGCUAGA
This 460-nucleotide ribosomal RNA is filed under the name uncultured beta proteobacterium. RNAcentral's name for it is "bacterial SSU rRNA". It matches the Rfam family "Bacterial small subunit ribosomal RNA", at positions 202 to 645 of the family's 1533-position model. The record is from RNAcentral. Lineage: Bacteria; Pseudomonadati; Pseudomonadota; Betaproteobacteria.